RNAcentral lists this ribosomal RNA (241 nucleotides) under uncultured Staphylococcus sp. RNAcentral describes it as "partial 16S ribosomal RNA". It matches the Rfam family "Bacterial small subunit ribosomal RNA", at positions 99 to 334 of the family's 1533-position model. Lineage: Bacteria; Bacillati; Bacillota; Bacilli; Caryophanales; Staphylococcaceae. The record is from RNAcentral.
CGGACGGGUGAGUAACACGUGGAUAACCUACCUAUAAGACUGGAAUAACUUCGGGAAACCGGAGCUAAUACCGGAUAAUAUAUUGAACCGCAUGGUUCAAUAGUGAAAGACGGUUUUGCUGUCACUUAUAGAUGGAUCCGCGCCGCAUUAGCUAGUUGGUAAGGUAACGGCUUACCAAGGCAACGAUGCGUAGCCGACCUGAGAGGGUGAUCGGCCACACUGGAACUGAGACACGGUCCAG